This 465-nucleotide ribosomal RNA is filed under the name uncultured bacterium. Its description in RNAcentral is "partial 16S ribosomal RNA". It matches the Rfam family "Bacterial small subunit ribosomal RNA", at positions 28 to 507 of the family's 1533-position model. The record is from RNAcentral.
GACGAACGCUGGCGGCGUGCUUAACACAUGCCAGUCGAACGGAAAGGCCCUGCUUGCAGGGUACUCGAGUGGCGAACGGGUGAGUAACACGUGGGUGAUCUGCCCUUCACUUCUGGAUAAGCCUGGGAAACUGUGUCUAAUACCGGAUAGGAGCCAUUUUUAGUGUUUUGGUUGGAAAGUUUUUUCGGUGUAGGAUGAGCUCGCGGCCUAUCAGCUUGUUGGUGGGGUAAUUGCCUACCAAGGCGGCGACGGGUAGCCGGCCUGAGAGGGUGGACGGCCACAGUGGGACUGAGAGACGGCACAGACGCGGAAGGGAGGAAGAAGGGGGGAAUAGUGAAAAAGGGGCGCAAGCCUGAUGCAGCGACGCCGAGGGGGGGAUGACGGGCUUAGGGUUGUAAAAACAAUGCGCUAGGGACGAAGCUUUUUGUGACGGUACCUAGAGAAGAAGCACCGGCUAACUACGUG